RNAcentral lists this ribosomal RNA (498 nucleotides) under uncultured bacterium. RNAcentral describes it as "partial 16S ribosomal RNA". It matches the Rfam family "Bacterial small subunit ribosomal RNA", at positions 27 to 507 of the family's 1533-position model. The record is from RNAcentral.
GGAUGAACGCUGGCGGCGUGCCUAAUACCUGCACGUCGAGCGAACAGACGAGGAGCUUGCUCCUCUGACGUUAGCGGCGGACGGGUGAGUAACACGUUGAUAACCUACCUAUAAUACUGGGAUAACUUCGGGAAACCGGAGCUAAUACCGGAUAAUAUAUUGAACCGCAUGGUUCAAUAGUUAAAGACGGUUUUGCUGUCACUUAUAGAUGGAUCCGCGCCGCAUUAGCUAGUUGGUAAGGUAACGGCUUACCAAGGCAACGAUGCGUAGCCGACCUGAGGGGGUGAUCGGCCACACUGGAACUGAGACACGGUCAAGACUACUACGGGAGGCAGCAGUAGGGAAUCUUCCGCAAUGGGCGAAAGCCUGACGGAGCAACGCCGAGUGAGUGAUGAAGGUCUUCGGAUCGUAAAACUCUGUUAUUAGGGAAGAACAAAUGUGUAAGUAACUAUGCACGUCUUGACGGUAACUAAUCAGAAAGCAACGGCUAACUACGUG